AACGCUAUCUACGGGCUUAACACAUGCAAGACGAGGGGCAGCGGGAUUGAAGCUUGCUUCAAUUGCCGGCGACCGGCGCACGGGUGAGUAACGCGUAUCCAACCUUCCGUACACUCAGGGAUAGCCUUUCGAAAGAAAGAUUAAUACCUGAUGGUAUGAUGAGAUUGCAUGAUAGCAUCAUUAAAGAUUUAUCGGUGUACGAUGGGGAUGCGUUCCAUUAGGUAGUAGGCGGGGUAACGGCCCACCUAGCCGACGAUGGAUAGGGGUUCUGAGAGGAAGGUCCCCCACAUUGGAACUGAGACACGGUCCAAACUCCUACGGGAGGCAGCAGUGAGGAAUAUUGGUCAAUGGACGAGAGUCUGAACCAGCCAAGUAGCGUGAAGGAUGAAGGUCCUACGGAUUGUAAACUUCUUUUAUAAGGGAAUAAACCCUUCCACGUGUGGGAGCUUGUAUGUACCUUAUGAAUAAGCAUCGGCUAACUCCGUGCCAGCAGCCGCGGUAAUACGGAGGAUGCGAGCGUUAUCCGGAUUUAUUGGGUUUAAAGGGAGCGCAGACGGGUCGUUAAGUCAGCUGUGAAAGUUUGGGGCUCAACCUUAAAAUUGCAGUUGAUACUGGCGUCCUUGAGUGCGGUUGAGGUGUGCGGAAUUCGUGGUGUAGCGGUGAAAUGCUUAGAUAUCACGAAGAACUCCGAUUGCGAAGGCAGCACACUAAGCCGUAACUGACGUUCAUGCUCGAAAGUGUGGGUAUCAAACAGGAUUAGAUACCCUGGUAGUCCACACGGUAAACGAUGGAUACUCGCUGUUGGCGAUAUACUGUCAGCGGCUUAGCGAAAGCGUUAAGUAUCCCACCUGGGGAGUAC
Molecule: ribosomal RNA, 859 nt
Filed under: uncultured Bacteroidota bacterium
Lineage: Bacteria; Pseudomonadati; Bacteroidota
Description: bacterial SSU rRNA
Rfam family: Bacterial small subunit ribosomal RNA
Source: RNAcentral